GCAUCUGAAUAGCAAAUAAGCCAUUCUUGCAUUGGCUGUCGCUAACAGCAUCAUUUUAUGCAUUAAAUGUGCUACAGAAAUGUAAAACAUAAGUACUAUGAAUAAGAUAUUUUUCUUACAUAUAUCUUACAUACAUAUGUAGCACUGGAUUUAAUAUUAAGCACAGCUGAGAAGAAAAUGAUUUAUUGCAUAAGAAUGUAAUCUGGGAAAACGGCAUUUCUGAUUCACUGUCCAGAUUCAUAAUUGCUUCAUGUACCCUUAGUUGCUCUAAGGGCUGUUAAUAGACUCUUGGUUUGUGAUAACAGCAACUGUAGCUGUCCAUGAAAGUAUGAACUUGCUUUGAAAAGGAAGAGAAGCAGCCUGAAUUCACAAAUAGCCUUGAGGGCUAUCUUAAGAUAGCCUAAAUUACCCGCUAAAGGUAUGCAAAUCAAGUCUUGGCUGAGUGUUCAAAGGCUUUCAGGUUCUUUUUCAACAUGUUAAGUGACAAUUCCUCUCCCCAGUCUGUAAGAAGUAAACCAGACUAAACUCAAUUUAGCAGUAAUUACUAAUACUCUUUUUUUGCAUUCAUACAUUUUUAAGGUCAAUAUGGACCAUUCUGCAGAACUGAUUCACAGGCUUCUUGAAUUGAUGUGAAUUAAAAAUGUCCAAUAGUUAUGCAUAAAGUGUACAUAUUAGGCAAAACCAUCCAAUAUUGAUUUCACCAAUUCUAGAAGUGGAAUCAGUGUUUCAUGAGUUCUUGUGAUUAAUACAACUGCUAAAAAAAUUGAGCUCAGUAAUAACUAAAAUGAUUGACUUCACCUUUCAGCCAUUGAGUUUUGUUAUAACUGCCUAAUCUGUUGAACUUGGAAUACUAUCAUUUCUCUGUUACUAUGUACUUGCUGAUUUUGAGCAACUCAUUUUUUAAUCAUUCACUUUAUUCAUGGGAGAAACAGAGUUGACUGAAUCUUUACCAUAAAAGAUGUUUUUUACUCUCGAGAUUCUUUAAAUUCUUACCAGUUCCUCAGUAUUGUUCUUGCAUUGAGAAAAGGACUCAGUAUUCCUUAACUGUGGACACACAAGAAUCUGAAUAUGAUAAUUUAACCUAUUUCAUCAAUGUCCUUUUUGUAUACUCAAGGAAUAUCAAACGCUUGCCUUCUGUACGACUUACCUCUUUCCCUGUCAUUACAUUAUCUGCAAAUUUCAUCAGUUAAGUUACUUUUUCCCAAGUUUUUAACAGAAAUAUUAAUAUUGUAAAGCUGACAAACAGUAUCUCCAAGAGCCCACUGCAAAAAUCACUCUUGAGCAGUGAUUGUUUGUGUAUACAUACUUUGGGAAACUUAGCUGUUAGAUAAUUUGGAAUCAUUCUGUUAUGUGCCAUGCUAAUUUCGUAUCAGCUGAGUUUUUAAACAAACUGUCACAUAGUACCAAGCAAAACACCUUUCAAAGGUCCAAACAUAUAGACACAGUUAUUUUAAGCAAUCCGAAGUUUUAUCAUGUCAAAAUAUGAUGUAGGUUACUCUGAAAAUAUUUUUGCCCGCAAAAUCAUUUGGUCAGCAUUAACUGCAUUUCUUUCCUCCCUUUAUACAUGGAGUCUGUAAUAGCGUUGCACAAUGUUUGUCAUGUAUAUGGGAGUGUUGUCAGCUGAGCUGGUCUUUAAUUUCAUAGGUCAUUCUGUUUAUGCUGCUUACAUAUUCCAGACUAGGAUCUACAAGUAUUUUGAUGUCUUUCCCUGCUUUCCAAUGUGUAUUAAAAUCAACAAGAAUAUAGAACAUUCUCAAACAGCCACCUCUUUCAAAACUACCUAGACUAUAUCUUUGCUCACUGGACAUACAGAUUUUUUUCCUUAUUUCUCUUACUUUUUGUGGUGUAUUUCUGAUUAUAAAUAUCAAGGUAUCUCUGGAAAUUAAAUCUCCUUUCUAAAAACUGUGGUAUAAUUCUUGCCCAUUACAGUGAUGUAACAAUGCAGGGAGAACAUCUCUUUUCAUUUGCUUGCUGUUAAGGAGAAAAUUUUCCAUCUUUCUCCUCUCCCAUUUCUUUAGCUAUUUUGGUAUUGUAAUUGUUGGUUAUUUUACUUAGAUUGCAUGUGUAUGUAAAAGAAGCAAGAAAUCUUGAUUGUCAGAAGAUUCUGGAAAAUUCCAAUAUAGUGCAAGAAAAAUGCAGCACAGCUUACAAGCAGAUCAAAAACUCCUCAAAGCUUUAAGGAUUUGGGGGGGAA
Long non-coding RNA from Pezoporus occidentalis (night parrot), 2194 nucleotides. RefSeq lists it as uncharacterized. The transcript is spliced from 2 exons. The record is from RefSeq and is a predicted model, not a curated record. Lineage: Eukaryota; Metazoa; Chordata; Aves; Psittaciformes; Psittacidae.